RNAcentral lists this transfer RNA (78 nucleotides) under bacterium. Its description in RNAcentral is "tRNA-Pro". It matches the Rfam family "tRNA". From Rfam's summary of the family: Transfer RNA (tRNA) molecules are approximately 80 nucleotides in length. Their secondary structure includes four short double-helical elements and three loops (D, anti-codon, and T loops). RNAcentral also lists the same sequence under 1 other name. The record is from RNAcentral.
CGGGGCGUAGCGCAGCCCGGCUAGCGCACCUGCUUUGGGAGCAGGGGGUCGGAGGUUCGAAUCCUCUCGCCCCGACCA